Molecule: long non-coding RNA, 1735 nt
Organism: Esox lucius (northern pike)
Lineage: Eukaryota; Metazoa; Chordata; Actinopteri; Esociformes; Esocidae
Source: Ensembl
UAUAUUUCGGCUGAGGCAUUGCUGGGCAGAGUCAGAUAAAAACCUGAGGUUUCCAUGAUUGUUGAAAUCACUUUUGAACAACACACACUAACGGUAGUUAUUUUAUCCUGUUGCGUCCAAUAUCCUCCGAGUCUAGGACCCAGCAGUGUUGCCAAGUACGUUGAUUAUAAGCGACUUUGGGCUUGUUUUUCUGUUAAGUCGCUUACAAAUAUUGAUAGUCGCGGGUCGCGUUUGUUUUGGGCUUUUUUCUAAAGUGUAGUUGCUUAUUUGGGCUUGUUCCCAGCUCCAUAAUAAGUUGUCAAGCAGAUAUUUUCUAUGUUAUUUAAACGAGUUUAUCUUGCCUGUUCCCUCUGUCCAUCUCCUUUCCCCAUACACACAGGAGACAGCAGAGUUUUCACCCACCCACAUCCUGCUUCUAAUUGGGUCUGACCCAGAUGGCAACGAGUACUAGCCAGAGCUGGGCAAUCGGUUUUUUUCUGUUUAGGAAAACGUUAGUGAGUGACGUUUGAAUGAAAAUACACGCGAGUCGCGACUGAUGGUGACUGGACUGUAGGAGAGUUUUUGGAGGAACAAAUGCCCGGGACAAAGUGGGCGAAAUACGGGAAGAAAUAUAACAAAUACUUGGAGAAAGAGAAAGGAAUAAAAGAAUGGAUUAAACCCGUCGUGGGGGACGACUCAAAAGCACUGUGCAGAGUAUUGCUCUUCGCCGCCGUGAGUAUGCAAAGAUCUACAGCCUCAUCAAUCCUGGUGAAAUCCCUUUGAUGCUUGUACAGAUGUCAGAUGAGCCUGGUCAAGUCCAAACUGAGGAACAGAAUGGGACAAGAAACUCUCAGCAGCAAAUUCCACAUAAAAUAAGGACUGAGAAGACAAGGCAUAUGCUGCAAGGACUUUGCCUCAAGCAAGGAGACGUUCCAGUGCUUCAAUAGUCGCAUGUAGUCUGUGAGUGGAGCACCAGAGAGCAGGGACACGGAUGCAGAUGAAGACAGUGAAGAUGGAUUUAAAGCACAAGCUCUGGCCUCUACACAUGAAGGAAACAGCAGUGGAGGUAUGAAGACACACCUGAAGACAGUACAAGUCCAUGUUCUACAGAGAUUGAAACUGCCUACUCUGUACCUGUCCUGUGGCGUCUUAAGCUCAUAUGCCACUUUGACAUUUGACUUUGAUUGGCCCUCUUUGGGUCACCACACUCUCCUCAACUAAACAAGAGGAUAGUUACAUUCUCAUUUCACACACAUUUUUUUUAAUGUUUUGUUUUUAUUAUUUAUAUGGUUUUAUUAUGUUCUUGUUUGGAUGUAGGCCAUCAAGAACGUCUGAAUGUAGAACUAAAACAUGUUGAAUGUUUCAGGAUAUUGAAGAUAUUUUCAGAUAUUUCAUAGAUUCUGUUCAGACAAAUUGUUAUUAAAUGUUUAAUUUGCACCUUGGUACCUGAAGCAACUUGAAAGAUAAUGGUGGUGUUAUUCUUCAUAUAUAUGAGGCUAAAGUGUUAUGAUUCUUAAAAAUGUUUUAGACCAAGCCUCAUCCUCACCUGUUCAAAUGGUUUUGACUGGAAUGGUUUUUAAACCAGUUUAGUUUAUUUAAAUCUUUUCUAACUCACUCUUAUGUUUAUCAGAGCAGGAGCCACUUUAUUGCUGCACACUAAGAUUAUCAAUAAUUACUUCUGUUUCUGGGUUAUAGUUAUUUAAAAAUGGGAUCUUCUGCAGUCCCUGCAAUAAUAAAUAAACAAUUUGUGAAUUCA